Molecule: long non-coding RNA, 583 nt
Organism: Penaeus monodon (black tiger shrimp)
Lineage: Eukaryota; Metazoa; Arthropoda; Malacostraca; Decapoda; Penaeidae
Exons: 2
Source: RefSeq, a predicted model, not a curated record
UUUUUUUUACUUGAUAUUGGGAAAGAAGACAGUGUGACUUUCAGAUGUAGAAGAGUACAAUGGGAGGCUUCAGUUAAUUAAAUCUGUUAUCACCUGCAAGAAAUAGUGAGGGUAUGCCAUCUGGGGGCAGCACACCAGUCCAUAUGUUGAGCAAAGCCAGGAGUACCCCAGCUGUCACCUCGCCUCUCACAAGAACACUAGAGAAGGCUUUUGUCACAGGCCCUGAGUCUCAGUCCAGCUUAACCUCAGUCGUCCAAGUCACACAGGAGGGAAUAAAUGACAGCUCUGGAGAAAGACCAGCUGAUGUGUCCCAGGAGAGGUGAUGAGGAACAAGAAACCACUUCACAUACUGGUCUCAAGAUUGUAUAUCAGCUACAGGGUUCGAAUACCAAUGUGUUUUUUCCCAUAUGUUUUUCCUCGGUGGAAGGAAGAUAUUCUUUUUAAGAAGAUUCAGUCAGACGGAUAUAAUUAUUAUAUAGAGAGAGACUGAUUAAAAUUAAUGUUAUGAGUUUAUGAUUUAGCUUAAGAAAUUGUUUCCCAGUGUCAACAAAAGCUUUAAUAAGAUUAAAACUAGUAAGAUCAA